GACAUCUCUCCAUGUUAGGGUUUUUAUCAGGUCUUCAGAUUUAUAACAUAAGUUGACCCAUCUGCUCAAUAAUUGUCAAGUUAUGUAAUCUUUUUGCUUUUCCUUGCAUCUGCUUACUGUACAUUAUUUGAUUUAACGUCUAAGAAACUGAACUAUAGGUAUUCAGUACAGAAUCACUUGACAUACUUGUCUCAUAAAACCUUCAGUCUUUGUCUUUCCUUUUGAAGUACAUUUUAGAAAGCUUAAAUCAAUUGUAAG
This 258-nucleotide long non-coding RNA is filed under the name Bos taurus (domestic cattle). RNAcentral's name for it is "long non-coding RNA NONBTAT002747". The record is from RNAcentral. Lineage: Eukaryota; Metazoa; Chordata; Mammalia; Artiodactyla; Bovidae.